This 236-nucleotide unclassified non-coding RNA is filed under the name Hevea brasiliensis (rubber tree). The record is from RNAcentral. Lineage: Eukaryota; Viridiplantae; Streptophyta; Magnoliopsida; Malpighiales; Euphorbiaceae.
AACGCCUAGUGUCCGUCGUCGAGGCCGCCCAUGUGCUUCUGCGAGUACAACUCAACGCCAAUCUUCUUGACGAGGUCGAUCUGGGUUUCGAGGAAGUCGAUAUGCCCUUCCUCGUCCUUCAUCAGGCUCUCGAACAGGUCGCGCGAGACGUAGUCCUUCGCGCUAUGGCAGUGGGUCGCGGCCUUCUCGUAAAGCUCGCGCGCCGAAUACUCGGCCUUGAGGUCGCAAUCCAGAAC